GGGCCCGCACAAGCGGUGGAGCAUGUGGUUUAAUUCGAUGAUACGCGAGGAACCUUACCAGGGCUUAAAUGGGAAAUGACAGGGGCAGAGACGCCCCCUUCUUCGGACAUUUUUCAAGGUGCUGCAUGGUUGUCGUCAGCUCGUGCCGUGAGGUGUCAGGUUAAGUCCUAUAACGAGCGCAACCCCUACCGUUAGUUGCCAGCGAGUCAUGUCGGGGACUCUAACGGGACUGCCGGUGCAAACCGUGAGGAAGGUGGGGACGACGUCAAAUCAUCACGGCCCUUACGUCCUGGGCCACACACGUGCUACAAUGGUAGGUACAGAGGGAAGCCACCCCGCGAGGGGGAGCGGAUCUACAAAACCUAUCUCAGUUCGGAUCGGAGUCUGCAACUCGACUCCGUG
RNAcentral lists this ribosomal RNA (402 nucleotides) under uncultured bacterium. Its description in RNAcentral is "bacterial SSU rRNA". It matches the Rfam family "Bacterial small subunit ribosomal RNA", at positions 917 to 1322 of the family's 1533-position model. The record is from RNAcentral.